Molecule: ribosomal RNA, 788 nt
Filed under: uncultured Staphylococcus sp.
Lineage: Bacteria; Bacillati; Bacillota; Bacilli; Caryophanales; Staphylococcaceae
Description: bacterial SSU rRNA
Rfam family: Bacterial small subunit ribosomal RNA
Source: RNAcentral
UAUAAGACUGGGAUAACUUCGGGAAACCGGAGCUAAUACCGGAUAACAUUUAGAACCGCAUGGUUCUAAAGUGAAAGAUGGUUUUGCUAUCACUUAUAGAUGGACCCGCGCCGUAUUAGCUAGUUGGUAAGGUAACGGCUUACCAAGGCGACGAUACGUAGCCGACCUGAGAGGGUGAUCGGCCACACUGGAACUGAGACACGGUCCAGACUCCUACGGGAGGCAGCAGUAGGGAAUCUUCCGCAAUGGGCGAAAGCCUGACGGAGCAACGCCGCGUGAGUGAUGAAGGGUUUCGGCUCGUAAAACUCUGUUAUUAGGGAAGAACAAAUGUGUAAGUAACUGUGCACAUCUUGACGGUACCUAAUCAGAAAGCCACGGCUAACUACGUGCCAGCAGCCGCGGUAAUACGUAGGUGGCAAGCGUUAUCCGGAAUUAUUGGGCGUAAAGCGCGCGUAGGCGGUUUCUUAAGUCUGAUGUGAAAGCCCACGGCUCAACCGUGGAGGGUCAUUGGAAACUGGGAAACUUGAGUGCAGAAGAGGAAAGUGGAAUUCCAUGUGUAGCGGUGAAAUGCGCAGAGAUGUGGAGGAACACCAGUGGCGAAGGCGACUUUCUGGUCUGUAACUGACGCUGAUGUGCGAAAGCGUGGGGAUCAAACAGGAUUAGAUACCCUGGUAGUCCACGCCGUAAACGAUGAGUGCUAAGUGUUAGGGGGUUUCCGCCCCUUAGUGCUGCAGCUAACGCAUUAAGCACUCCGCCUGGGGAGUACGACCGCAAGGUUGAAACUCAAG